RNAcentral lists this ribosomal RNA (253 nucleotides) under uncultured bacterium. RNAcentral's name for it is "partial 16S ribosomal RNA". It matches the Rfam family "Bacterial small subunit ribosomal RNA", at positions 524 to 776 of the family's 1533-position model. The record is from RNAcentral.
UACGUAGGGACCAAGCGUUGUUCGGAUUUACUGGGCGUAAAGGGCGCGUAGGCGGCAAUUCAAGUCAGCUGUGAAAUCUCCGGGCUUAACUCGGAACGGUCAGCUGAUACUGCUUUGCUAGAGUGCAGAAGGGGCAAUCGGAAUUCUUGGUGUAGCGGUGAAAUGCGUAGAUAUCAGGAAGAACACCAAUGGCGAAGGCAGCUCUCUGGGACGGUACUGACGCUGAGACGCGAAAGCGUGGGGAGCGAACAGG